Molecule: ribosomal RNA, 449 nt
Filed under: uncultured bacterium
Lineage: Bacteria
Description: partial 16S ribosomal RNA
Rfam family: Bacterial small subunit ribosomal RNA
Source: RNAcentral
AAUGAACGCUGGCGGCAUGCCUAACACAUGCAAGUCGAACGAAGGCUUCGGCCUUAGUGGCGCACGGGUGCGUAACGCGUGGGAAUCUGCCCUCAGGUUCGGAAUAACAGCGAGAAAUUGCUGCUAAUACCGGAUGAUAUCGCGAGAUCAAAGAUUUAUCGCCUGAGGAUGAGCCCGUGUAGGAUUAGCUAGUUGGUGUGGUAAAGGCGCACCAAGGCGACGAUCCUUAGCUGGUCUGAGAGGAUGAUCAGCCACACUGGGACUGAGACACGGCCCAGACUCCUACGGGAGGCAGCAGUGGGGAAUAUUGGACAAUGGGCGAAAGCCUGAUCCAGCAAUGCCGCGUGAGUGAUGAAGACCUUAGGGUUGUAAAGCUCUUUUACCCGGGAUGAUAAUGACAGUACCGGGAGAAUAAGCUCCGGCUAACUCCGUGCCAGCAGCCGCCGUAA